RNAcentral lists this ribosomal RNA (415 nucleotides) under uncultured crenarchaeote. Its description in RNAcentral is "partial 16S ribosomal RNA". It matches the Rfam family "Archaeal small subunit ribosomal RNA", at positions 330 to 747 of the family's 1478-position model. The record is from RNAcentral. Lineage: Archaea; Thermoproteati; Thermoproteota.
GUGCAGCAGUCGCGCAAACUUUGCAAUACACGAAAGUGUGACAGGGCUAUCCCGAGUGCCGUCCGCUGAGGGUGGCUUUUACCCAGUCUAUAAAGCUGGGAGAAUAAGGAGAGGGCAAGUCUGGUGUCAGCCGCCGCGGUAAUACCAGCUCUCCGAGUGGUGUGGAUGUUUAUUGGGCCUAAAGCAUCCGUAGCUUGCCAAGCAAGUCCCCUGUUAAACCCACCGAAUUAAUCGUUGGAUUGCGGGGGAUACUGCUCGGCUAGGGGACGGGAGAGGCCGACGGUAUUUCCGGGGUAGGGGUGAAAUCCUAUAAUCCCGGGAAGACCACCAGUGGCGAAGGCUGUCGGCUAGAACGCGCCCGACGGUGAGGGAUGAAAGCUGGGGGAGCGAACCGGAUUAGAUACCCCCGUAGUCC